AGAGGACUUGUCUGUUCUACUGAUUUGAAUGGAAUUGAACUUUAAAAGAACAGGUCCGUGCAUAACCUAGAAAUCCCAAAAUGCUGAAUGAAAUGAAAGUCCUGCUUAUCCCACUUAAUGUUUGCUGGAGAGGUUCAACUUGGAAAUGAAAGAUAACAACAAAGAACAUUUGAACUUGGCUAAGUACUUACUGAGCUGUCGUGCAUUUACUGAAGGAAUACCUGUGGAACUUCAAAAAAUACAGCUGCCUGAGCCAUACUACAAACCUAUUCAAUCUCAUUUGGACCCAAGCAGUGGUGAAAUUGCUGACUGGCGAGUGUGUCCUGCCACAAAAACCAUAGGCAAGAUGUGGCCACGACCAAAAGAGCAUGAAAGAUGGAAAACACCAUCUGGAUCAUGCAAUUCAAAUCACAUCAACUUCUCUUUUUCCAUUUAAGAAAAAUCAUCCAUGCAGCCUUUUGUUGCUUUCUGCUGUGGCCAGAAACCACUUAGGAUGCAAUCCUCUGUUAGUGAAAGAGAAAGUCCAAAGGGACUCCAGAACAUACAUUGCUCCCCUUUCAAGUUUUACGCACAUUUUUUUUUUAGGGGGAGUUGGGGAAAGUCCACAUCUCUAUGGACUUUUAUUCAGCUUGGAACCAUAGAUAGUAGCUUCUGACUAUACAUCUGUCAUUGAUCACCCUGAAAGAGCUCACUGCACUCCAUGGGGAUUUGUCUUCCAGUUGUUAGAUAAGGAGAGUUUGUUUUCUGUUUCAAUAGAGCUAAUAACCCAAAAAUGAGCAGGGAGUUCUAGAGAGUCCUUGUUCAUAUCCAUUUGGGAAAAAAAUAUCACAAUACCCUUCCCAGUUUUUAACCAGAUUUAGUCAUUCUUUGGCUUUGCUGUGUGAUGAAGAUCUAUAGUGUUAUGUUGGUGUAUUUUGACAGUAGUAUUUUAUAACAAAUAAAUGAUCUGGUUGCUUUUAUUUUAAUCAAGCAUCAAGGCCCAUUUUCUAGCCAUGAGAAUAAUUAAAUAAUAAUUUUAUCAGUGAUUUGGGUUAAUCACAGGUAGCAUUCAUUUCUGUUGAGGGAUGUUAGAGAAGUAUUGUCAUAUAGUAAGAAUGAUACUGGAGUAAGGGUCAGCAACUGAGCUCUGUCGCUAAAUAGCUCAGUGACUUUAAGCAAGUCAUCUAACCUCUUCUGUUUGUAUCUUCAUCUGUGAUAGGAGGAUUGAGAUCUUCUCCUUCUCUGCAAAGUCACUUCUGAAUCUUUAGAAUGAAAACUGGGGAGUAAAACAUAGAUGGCAUUGAAUGAUGUCUACUAAGUGCCAGCACAUGGAAGACUACUUAAAAUGCUCUACGUGUAUUACCCAUUGCAAUUGUUAAAGGCAGUAGGUACAAUAUUAUUAUGUACAUUUUGUAGGUGAUGAGAUUGAAACUUAGAACAUUUAAGGAAUUUCCCAAAGCCUCAAGUUACUUAAAGGCAGAACUGGAAAAAAAUCCCAAGUCUCCCUGGUACCAAAGCCCGUCUGCUUCAUAAUUAUUGAGCAUUUAUUAUGACCACAGAAGUUUUCUUACACUGGCCCACUUAAUCUUAAAAAAAAAGAAACCAAAAAACACUGUCAGGUUAAUAUCAUAGUUUCCAUGAUGGAGAUAAGGAAAUUUCAGGGUAGAAAAUUAAGAAACAUACCAAGAGUGGCAUGAGUUAUGUAGAACACGGGAGCUAAGAUUUAUUCUUAUGUUAGCCUCAUUUCCACAACCAAGCCCUUUCUACUACACCAGUUGGAUGCCUGGUAAACCCAAGUUUCUUGGAGAAUUAAGUAGCUUUUUUUUUUUUUUUUUUACUUUGGUUUUGACUUUAGGUAAGUAGGGUCAAAUUCAUUAGGCUAAACAUUAGGUAGUAUCAUGCAAAAUGUUAUUUGUUUUUCUAAUCUCUGGACAUAGCUCAUUCAAGCUGGACAAGCCAAUAAGACAAGUUUGGGUUAAUUUUCAGAGCCCCUCCCAGAAAACCUUGGAUAACCCGAGAGAGCAAUGCAUGAUUGGUUGGGUAGGGUGAAGUCACCAAGAUCAGAUCCAUGCAUUCAUUUUUAUAAAAUGGUCUUUUAAAAGUGAGAUAAUUUAAGAGUUCAAAAGAUCUCUUCAGGAAAGAUGAAUAGAUACCAUCUUGAAAUUUGGAGAAUAUCAUGGAACAUCUUUUAUAAUGAAGGCAUGACAAUAAGUAGGUGGGGCAUAUUGGAAUCUUCUCAACUAAAAGCUACUAAAGAGAGUUUCACUUCAGGGUGACUGCAUCCCACAGAAGGAGUGCCCUCCAGGUUCAGACUUGCACAGGGGUAGAGUCAUGAUCCUCUCUAUAUGAAACAUUGACAUUCCUGCAAAUGAAAAGAAGUUCCUGUUCCAUCUGCAUAGCUAGACCACUGGGUCAGGAGUGUGACUAAGAGGUGGAUCACUUUUCUACUGGCCUGGAAGGGCAGCUGAGGUGGUUCCCAUCCUUCCCCCUGGUAAGACUUCAGUGCAUUUCACUGAGAGCUCCCCCAGCUGCCUCUGUCAAGGCUGGGACCUCGGCCUACCAUCAGUAUUGCAUUUAGCCACCUGCUUUAGUCACAACCAAUUUUUACCCAUGGACACCUCCCCUACUGGCAUGAAGGCUGAACUAUUCAUACUAGUAAAUAAAAUGCUGGGGAAAAAUAAACAAAUAAAUAAAUGCAAACCCCAAAUGAGACAGUGAACCUGCUCACACACUGAGCACAUUGCUACAACAACAAGCAUUUGAGAAAGCCAUCAUACAAAGACUGCCUGUAAAUAAGGAACUCAUAUAAAGUCUUCAUCCCUGAAUGCAACAAGAGAAAAAUUAGGCUACAAUAAACUACAAACAUGAAUGCUGCAUUCUUAAAGGGGAAGAAAUUUAAAAAACACAGUAGAGUAAAAAGGAAAUUCCAGAAUAAUUAAAAGAAACAGUAUACCCAAAUGAGAAGGAACUAGAAAUAUUAUUCUGGCAAUAUGACAAAACAGGAUUCUAUAAAAUCCCCCAAAAAUCACGUUAGCUCUCCAACAAUGGCUACAAAACAAGAUAAAAUCUUUGAAAUACCAGGAAAAGAAUUCAAGAGGUUGAUUAUUAAGCUAUUCAAGGAGAUACAACAGAAAGCUGAAAACCAACAUAAAGAAAUUAAAAAGAACAAUUCAGGAUAUGAAUUAACAUUUUUCUGAAGAGAUAGAUGUUUUAAAGACAAACCAAUCAGAACUUCUGAUAAAUAUCCAGAAUUUACAAGGAACUCAAAUGAAUCAGCAGGAAAUAAAUCCUAAAUAAUUCCAUCAAAAAGUGGGCAAAUGACAUGAAUAGAUAUUUCUCAAAAGAAGAUACAAAAAUAGCCGAGAAACAUAUAAAAAAUGCUCAACAUCACUAAUGAUCAGGGAAAUGCAAAUUAAAACCACAAUAAGAUAACAGCUUCCCCCCGCCAGAAUGGCCAUUAUUAAAAACUCAAAAAACAAUAGAUGUUGAUAUGGAUAUGGUAAAAAGAGAAUGCUUAUACACUGCUGCUGGGAAUGUAAAUUAGUACAACCUCUAUGGAAACAGUGUGGGGAUUUCUCAAAGAACUAAAAGUAGAUCUACCAUUUGAUCCAGCAAUCCCACUACUGCAUAUCUGCCUAAAGGAAAAUAAGCCAUUAUACCAAAAUGACACCUUUACACAUGUGUUUAUUGCAGCACAAUUCACAAUUGCAAAGAUAGGGAAUCAUUGACCAAUGAGCGGAUAAAGACAAUUGACCAAUUUGGCAUUUACACACCAUGGAAUACUACUCAGCCAUAAAAAAGAAUGAAAUGAUGUCGUUUGCAGCAACUUGGGUUGAGCUGUAGGCCAUUAUUCUAAGUGAAGUACCUCAGGAAUGGAAAACCAAAUACCAUACGUUCUCACUUAUAAGUGAGAGCUAAGCUAUGGGUAUACAAAGUCAUACAGUGAUGUAUUGGACUUUGGUGACCUAGAAGUGGGGAGAGUGAGAGGGAAAUGAGGGAUUAUAAAAUGCAUAUUAGGUACAACAUAUACUACUUAGGUGACAGGUGCACUAAAGUCUUAGACUUCACCACUACAAAAGUCAUCCAUGUAACCAAAAACCACUUGUACUCCAAAAGCUAUUGAAAUAAAAAUACACUAAAAAAAUCAUAAAAAUGUAUAAAAAUUUAAGUGCCAAUAAAAGAGAGCUUGCAGGAGUAGACAUAAUCAAUUAGUGUCAAUUAUGGCUGCUUUGUCGAUAAGUGGAAUAGUAUGCUCAUCUAGUACUAUUGAUGAUUUCAAGCCUGGUUGAUCAAAUUCUCUUGCGUUCUUAAACAAUUCAACUUCCU
Long non-coding RNA from Macaca fascicularis (crab-eating macaque), 4305 nucleotides. NCBI's taxonomy places the organism in Eukaryota, Metazoa, Chordata, Mammalia, Primates, Cercopithecidae. The record is from Ensembl.